UUGAUUUUUAUGUUUUCAUUCAGACAACACACAGGUUUCUGCAUAAAAGCGGCGACCCAAAGGGACGCCGAAGCACGAUGUUUGCUUCCACAGGUUUGAAGGGUAGAAGGUCAAUGACCAUUCAAUAAUGAUCCCUCCGCAGGUUCACCUACGGAGA
RNAcentral lists this unclassified non-coding RNA (157 nucleotides) under uncultured fungus. RNAcentral's name for it is "sequence contains ITS1". The record is from RNAcentral. Lineage: Eukaryota; Fungi.